UGAGGAAUAUUGGGCAAUGCCCGAAAGGGUGACCCAGCAACGCCGCGUGGAGGAUGAAGGUCGUAAGAUUGUAAACUCCUGUUAGAGGGGAAGAAUAACUAAGUUUGGAGCUUAGUAUGACUGUACCCUCAGAGAAAGCCCCGGCUAACUACGUGCCAGCAGCCGCGGUAAUACGUAGGGGGCAAGCGUUGUCCGGAUUUACUGGGUGUAAAGGGCGCGCAGGCGGAAUGGAAAGUCAGUGGUGAAAUCCUACAGCUUAACUGUAGAACUGCCUUUGAUACUUUCAUUCUUGAGUUCGGGAGAGAGAGACGGAAUUCCAGGUGUAGUGGUGAAAUACGUAGAUAUCUGGAAGAACACCAGUUGCGAAGGCGGUCUCUUGGUCCGAUACUGACGCUGAGUGUGCGAAAGCUAGGGGAGCAAACAGGAUUAGAUACCCCAGUAGUCCCUGAGCGGGCUGGCAAGGCGCAU
Molecule: ribosomal RNA, 468 nt
Filed under: uncultured bacterium
Lineage: Bacteria
Description: bacterial SSU rRNA
Rfam family: Bacterial small subunit ribosomal RNA
Source: RNAcentral